GAUGAACGCUGGCGGCGUGCCUAAUACAUGCAAGUCGAGCGAACGGACGAGAAGCUUGCUUCUCUGAUGUUAGCGGCGGACGGGUGAGUAACACGUGGAUAACCUACCUAUAAGACUGGGAUAACUUCAGGAAACCGGAGCUAAUACCGGAUAAUAUUUUGAACCGCAUGGUUCAAAAGUGAAAGACGGUCUUGCUGUCACUUAUAGAUGGAUCCGCUCUGCAUUAGCUAGUUGGUAAGGUAACGGCUUACCAAGGCAACGAUGCAUAGCCGACCUGAGAGGGUGAUCGGCCACACUGGAACUGAGACACGGUCCAGACUCCUACGGGAGGCAGCAGUAGGGAAUCUUCCGCAAUGGGCGAAAGCCUGACGGAGCAACGCCGCGUGAGUGAUGAAGGUCUUCGGAUCGUAAAACUCUGUUAUUAGGGAAGAACAUAUGUGUAAGUAACUGUGCACAUCUUGACGGUACCUAAUCAGAAAGCCACGGCUAACUACGUG
Molecule: ribosomal RNA, 497 nt
Filed under: uncultured bacterium
Lineage: Bacteria
Description: partial 16S ribosomal RNA
Rfam family: Bacterial small subunit ribosomal RNA
Source: RNAcentral